AUAUAAGCAAAAUUGACUUUGUAGGUUCAUUCACUUAAUGAUGUAUGUGGUUCAUAUUAUUAACCAUAUACAUCAUUAAAUGAAUGAACCUAAAAAGUCAAUUUUGCUUAUAU
Molecule: microRNA precursor, 113 nt
Organism: Medicago truncatula (barrel medic)
Lineage: Eukaryota; Viridiplantae; Streptophyta; Magnoliopsida; Fabales; Fabaceae
Rfam family: MIR2593 microRNA precursor family
Source: Rfam